GGUGUCCAAGGUCAUUUUAUUCAAAAUACUGUGCAUAGUAGUGUACCAUAUUUUGGAGUGGCAGUCCUUGGAUUUCUUCACCAUAUAGUUGAGAGACCAACUAGUGACAACAACCAAAGAAGGGGAAAAAAAAGAAACAGAACUACAGGACAUAUGAAACAAUGACUUAAAAAGAGGCAGUGACAUUCUCACCACCUGCCCUGUUGUCUCCUGAGGUAUCAGCAGCUGCUCCAAGGAGAACACUAUCUAUGUCAUACAUGGCAAUUGCUUGAAUGAUUUUCUACAGAGACUUGCUAUUUUUCCGUUGACAAGCAUCAUUCAUAAGGGCAGUGGCAUGUCAUAGUCGUCGGUUUUUCUUUGCUGUGGUCUGCUUUUAUGGAUAUGGAAAAGUAAAAUCAAUCUGUGAGAGGAACCACAUUCUUUGCUUCUACUUCCAGGCUUAUUAUCUUUAUUAAGUGACAUUCCCAUCCAUCAGGAGUUGAGUCUAAUCUAUGGGAGAAUAAGGGAGGACGACAGAAGGGCCUUAUGCAAUUGCCAAGACAACACGUUAGGAAAAAGGGCUUCAACUUCUUGUGCUCCAUCUGCUGCAGGUUCAUAUUGGCCUUCUAAUCUGGAUGUGCUCUCUGAAUCUCCACUGGAGGUG
This 643-nucleotide long non-coding RNA is filed under the name Pan paniscus (pygmy chimpanzee). RNAcentral describes it as "lncRNA (ENSPPAG00000044316.1)". Lineage: Eukaryota; Metazoa; Chordata; Mammalia; Primates; Hominidae. The record is from RNAcentral.